Molecule: ribosomal RNA, 252 nt
Filed under: uncultured bacterium
Lineage: Bacteria
Description: partial 16S ribosomal RNA
Rfam family: Bacterial small subunit ribosomal RNA
Source: RNAcentral
UACGGAGGGGGCUAGCGUUGUUCGGAAUUACUGGGCGUAAAGCGCGCGUAGGCGGACCUGCAAGUCGGGGGUGAAAGCCCGAGGCUCAACCUCGGAACUGCCUUCGAUACUGCGGGUCUCGAGUCCGGGAGAGGUGAGUGGAAUUCCUAGUGUAGAGGUGAAAUUCGUAGAUAUUAGGAAGAACCCCGGUGGCGAAGGCGGCUCACUGGCCCGGUACUGACGCUGAGGCGCGAAAGCGUGGGAGCAAACAGG